RNAcentral lists this ribosomal RNA (369 nucleotides) under uncultured organism. RNAcentral's name for it is "partial 16S ribosomal RNA". It matches the Rfam family "Bacterial small subunit ribosomal RNA", at positions 527 to 896 of the family's 1533-position model. The record is from RNAcentral.
GUAGGGUGCAAGCGUUAAUCGGAAUUACUGGGCGUAAAGCGUGCGCAGGCGGUUUUGUAAGUCUGUCGUGAAAGCCCCGGGCUCAACCUGGGAGUUGCGAUGGAGACUGCAAGGCUUGAAUCUGGCAGAGGGGGGUAGAAUUCCACGUGUAGCAGUGAAAUGCGUAGAGAUGUGGAGGAACACCGAUGGCGAAGGCAGCCCCCUGGGUCAAGAUUGACGCUCAUGCACGAAAGCGUGGGGAGCAAACAGGAUUAGAUACCCUGGUAGUCCACGCCCCUAAACGAUGUCUACUAGUUGUCGGGUUUUAAUUAACUUGGUAACGCAGCUAACGCGUGAAGUAGACCGCCUGGGAGUACGGUCGCAAGAUUA